Molecule: small nucleolar RNA, 101 nt
Organism: Cynocephalus volans (Philippine flying lemur)
Lineage: Eukaryota; Metazoa; Chordata; Mammalia; Dermoptera; Cynocephalidae
Product: small nucleolar RNA U13
Exons: 1
Source: RefSeq, a predicted model, not a curated record
GUCCUUCUGUGGUUCUUAAGUGUGAUGACUGGGGUUUCACACUACUGUGAGAUUUGCCUCCCUCAAAUUUUGCUACUAGUUGGCACACUACCUGCCUGAUG